This 379-nucleotide ribosomal RNA is filed under the name uncultured eukaryote. RNAcentral describes it as "partial 18S ribosomal RNA". It matches the Rfam family "Eukaryotic small subunit ribosomal RNA", at positions 592 to 976 of the family's 1831-position model. The record is from RNAcentral.
CAAUAGCGUAUAUUAAAGUUGUUGCGGUAAAAAAGCUCGUAGUUGGAUUUCUGUUGAGAGCGACCGGUCCAUACCAUGUAUGCGUAUCUGGCUUGCUCUCGGCAUCCUCUCGAUAGACGUUACUGCGCUUGAUUGCGUGGUGCGGAUCUCGGGACUUUUACUUUGAGGAAAUUAGAGUGUUCACGGCAGGCUUUCGCCAGAAUACAUUAGCAUGGAAUAAUACUAUAGGAUCUUGGUUCUAUUUUGUUGGUUUCUAGAAUUGAGAUAAUGAUUAAUAGGGACAAUUGGGGGCAUUCGUAUCAACACGUCAGAGGUGGAAUUCUUGGAUUGUGUUGCGACGAACUACUGCGAAAGCAUUUGCCAAGGACGUUUUCAUUGA